CUUAAUCAUUCAAGACGUUUCUAGUAACCGUAAAGACCAUCCAUAUGUAAUGGCUCACACAGAACAUGUAGAAAUCGAUAUUUUCGUACUCCCGCGGGUCUCACUUCAAUUUUCUGUAAGUUCUAUUUAACUACAAACGAAAGUUUUUUCACUACAAACCUCUUUGGAGGUCCCUCAAUGAUUUAUGACGUUUGUAGUAAUUGUGAAGACCAUCCAUCGAUAACUG
This 226-nucleotide unclassified non-coding RNA is filed under the name Melitaea cinxia (Glanville fritillary). RNAcentral describes it as "misc RNA ENSMCXG00005020385.1". The record is from RNAcentral. Lineage: Eukaryota; Metazoa; Arthropoda; Insecta; Lepidoptera; Nymphalidae.